GCCUAAUAUUCGGGCCUUUAUAUAUAUGGUUUUUUUUUCGUCAGGAUGAACGCUGGCGGCGUGCCUAAUACAUGCAAGUCGAGCGAACGGACGAGAAGCUUGCUUCUCUGAUGUUAGCGGCGGACGGGUGAGUAACACGUGGAUAACCUACCUAUAAGACUGGGAUAACUUCGGGAAACCGGAGCUAAUACCGGAUAAUAUUUUGAACCGCAUGGUUCAAAAGUGAAAGACGGUCUUGCUGUCACUUAUAGAUGGAUCCGCGCUGCAUUAGCUAGUUGGUAAGGUAACGGCUUACCAAGGCAACGAUGCAUAGCCGACCUGAGAGGGUGAUCGGCCACACUGGAACUGAGACACGGUCCAGACUCCUACGGGAGGCAGCAGUAGGGAAUCUUCCGCAAUGGGCGAAAGCCUGACGGAGCAACGCCGCGUGAGUGAUGAAGGUCUUCGGAUCGUAAAACUCUGUUAUUAGGGAAGAACAUAUGUGUAAGUAACUGUGCACAUCUUGACGGUACCUAAUCAGAAAGCCACGGCUAACUACGUGCCAGCAGCCGCGGUAAUACGUAGGUGGCAAGCGUUAUCCGGAAUUAUUGGGCGUAAAGCGCGCGUAGGCGGUUUUUUAAGUCUGAUGUGAAAGCCCACGGCUCAACCGUGGAGGGUCAUUGGAAACUGGAAAACUUGAGUGCAGAAGAGGAAAGUGGAAUUCCAUGUGUAGCGGUGAAAUGCGCAGAGAUAUGGAGGAACACCAGUGGCGAAGGCGACUUUCUGGUCUGUAAACUGACGCUGAUGUGAAAGACGCC
RNAcentral lists this ribosomal RNA (797 nucleotides) under Staphylococcus aureus. RNAcentral's name for it is "bacterial SSU rRNA". It matches the Rfam family "Bacterial small subunit ribosomal RNA", at positions 1 to 762 of the family's 1533-position model. The record is from RNAcentral. Lineage: Bacteria; Bacillati; Bacillota; Bacilli; Caryophanales; Staphylococcaceae.